RNAcentral lists this unclassified non-coding RNA (2420 nucleotides) under Hevea brasiliensis (rubber tree). Lineage: Eukaryota; Viridiplantae; Streptophyta; Magnoliopsida; Malpighiales; Euphorbiaceae. The record is from RNAcentral.
GAAAAUUAUGAGUUGAAGUUCUAUUUCUGUUGAAUUUCAUAAUACAUAAUAGGGACAAUGCCCAGUAUUGAAAGAGAAAUAUGUUUAAGAAUUAAGAAGUGAAUGAGAAGAGCUUUAUGUAGCAUAUCUAAAGAGCAACAGAUAUUAAGUCCAAGAAAACCACCAAAUACCCAUCAACAUGGUCCUCGACUGUUACAAAUUGGAGAACUUCAUGUACCGAAGAUGUCUUUUUUACCGAGGACCUGAUAAGAUUGAUCCCACAAGGGGCAGGCUAGCAGGUAUAUCUUGAUUGGUGUCUUCUGGGAGAAUUGCUAAGAAGCUGUAGUCAGUAAUCCGCUCCAUUGGCGUUAAACCUUCAAUAAAUUUCACAACAGUAGAAAUGGAAGGCCUUCUACGGUAAGGCUGUAGGCAGUGUAUAGCAAUCUCCAACAUUUUAACAGCUUCAUCCAUAUUUGCUUGGAUAUCUGGUUGCUUGUCAACUAAGUCAGAUAGUUGACCUUCUUCCACUUUGCUCUUCACUACAUCAACGAGUACUUGAUCAUCAUUUUGGCUUGAAUUCUUGCGUCCACAAACAAUCUCCAGGAUUACUAUGCCAAAGCUGUAAACAUCAACCUUGGAUGUAAUAUUGUUUCCAGUCAACAACUCAGGAGCGAUAUAACCUGGAGUUCCUUUGAGUGUCCACACACGACUUUGUUCUCCUUCUAUCAAUUUUGCUAAACCAAAAUCAGAAAUCUUGGCCAUGAAAUUUUCAUCCAAGAGAAUAUUUUGGGGUUUGAUAUCAAAGUGAAUAAUUUGUGGAUUGCAAAACGAAUGGAGAUACAAGAGUCCUUUUGCAAUGGAUAAAACAAUGUUCUUUCUAAUUUCCCACCCAAGAGGCUGUCCUCCAUUUCUGUGGAAAAUCCAUUUAUCCAAUGAUCCAUUGCACACGUACUCGUAAACUAGAAGUCUCUUCGAUCUUGUGAUGCAAUACCCAAUGAGCUUCACCAGACAAACAUGGUGAAUUCGGCCCAAGGUCUGCACCUCUGCCUCGAAAUCUCUUCGUCCUUCUCGGAAACCAGAAAGACAUUUUACUGCUACUGUUUUGCCAUUUAAGGUACCCUUAAAUACCUCUCCAAAUGCUCCCCGACCAAUCUUUGAUCUAGGAUCAAAAUUGUUCGUAGCUGAUUUAAGGUCUCUAUAAGAGAAACUUGUCAGCACAUCUUCUACUCGAUUCAUAGAUUCAUUUCCUUCUGCUUCCUGUCCUGCAGAUUCUCUUCUAUCCUUUUGUUUUGCAUUCUUUUUCUUUCUUUUUACGUACCAAAUAGCUCCAUAAACACAAACAAUAACGAAUGACAAGGAAGCAGGAAUAGGGAUUGCUAGUUUUUUAACUGAAGAUGGUCCCCUUUUCUUUGCUGAUUCCUGCCGUGUAAAAGAAUCAUUGCUAAAGAGAUCGGAUACCACACCGUUUUUGUACCCAUCAAUCAGUUGAUAAACCCGCAGAUGCCCAUCUGGAUCAAGCCUCAUAUACUGGAAGUCUCUACCUUUCGGUUCGUACUUUACAUAAUUUGGCAAUUGAUUCAAGGACCCAAUGCCAAAGUUAAAUGUGGUAAAGUCACCAUUAUAUGAAAAUAGUCUCUGAUAAAAGGUUUGAGGAUUUGAUUCAUUGAAAGCAUAAACACCAUCAUCAGCGACAGAGAGAUAGAACAAGCCUGUAGAGAAAUUGGAUGGAGAAACACUAGAUGUUAACAUCUGGCCAUAAUGCAGCAGCUGGUUAGGAGCCCAUGUGUCAGUUGGAUAAUCGAAAGACUCCCAUUGCACACCAUUGCUGCCAUUGACAAGUCUCAAAUUUCCUCCAAACAAUAGAAACAUUCGCGUAACAGAGGCAUCAGAGGUGUUGGUCGACCAAACAAGCGUACCAUCUGUGUCUCUCAACUCCAAGUUUCCGUUGGCUUUAAAUUCAAGACUAGAAUUCUCUCCCACUGGGUGUUCUCGAUUAGCACACCAAAGAACUGCUGGUGGAUAAUUUGAAAAAUUGAAGGAUGAAUUUGUGGAGAGUGGAUGUUUAAGUAUGGAAAGAUAAAAGGAAUCACUAGUUGCAUCCUUGAAGAAACCAAAGGUGAAAUUUAGCUGGCGAUAAGAGUAAAUUGCUAGGAUAGGCCUAAGAGUAGAACCAUCAGAAAAUGUGAAGGUUCCCAUAGCGGUGGAAGAGACGUUGUUUUUCCAAGAGGUUGAGACGCUGGCAACUGAUGUAUCCUGUUGUUGACAACAGGAGUACUCAAGAAUGGAAAGGUUGAGAAUGAAAACAAGAAACUGAACGACUAAUCUUGCCAUGGCUGUACCUUCCUGCUAAUCUUGUGAUCAUGAUUCUAUUUAUAUACCGCAAUCAUGUCCUGCUACCCAAAAAGUAUAAUCGGCCGGCCACAUACAAGACUUGAGAAAAU